AACAUCGCGCACCUGCGGGAACCUGCGGAGGGAUCAUUAAAAAAGGGUCUUUUGACCCAUUUUUUUUUAAAAAUUCACUACCAGUUUUACUGGAAGUGGGUUUUUUUCAAAUACCAAAUUUUAAACUAUUCGUCUUUUGACGAAACCCAAAAUUAAUAAAUAAAACUUUCAGCAACGGAUCU
This 182-nucleotide unclassified non-coding RNA is filed under the name soil metagenome. RNAcentral's name for it is "partial contains 5.8S ribosomal RNA, internal transcribed spacer 2, and large subunit ribosomal RNA". The record is from RNAcentral.